GAUGAACGCUGGCGGCGUGCCUAAUACAUGCAAGUCGAGCGAACGGACGAGAAGCUUGCUUCUCUGAUGUUAGCGGCGGACGGGUGAGUAACACGUGGAUAACCUACCUAUAAGACUGGGAUAACUCCGGGAAACCGUAGCUAAUACCGGAUAAUAUUUUGAACCGCAUGGUUCAAAAGUGAAAGACGGUCUUGCUGUCACUUAUAGAUGGAUCCGCGCUGCAUUAGCUAGUUGGUAAGGUAACGGCUUACCAAGGCAACGAUGCAUAGCCGACCUGAGAGGGUGAUCGGCCACACUGGAACUGAGACACGGUCCAGACUCCUACGGGAGGCAGCAGUAGGGAAUCUUCCGCAAUGGGCGAAAGCCUGACGGAGCAACGCCGCGUGAGUGAUGAAGGUCUUCGGAUCGUAAAGCUCUGUUAUUAGGGAAGAACAUAUGUGUAAGUAGCUGUGCACAUCUUGACGGUACCUAAUCAGAAAGCCACUGCUAACUACGUG
RNAcentral lists this ribosomal RNA (497 nucleotides) under uncultured bacterium. Its description in RNAcentral is "partial 16S ribosomal RNA". It matches the Rfam family "Bacterial small subunit ribosomal RNA", at positions 28 to 507 of the family's 1533-position model. The record is from RNAcentral.